AGAGCGAACGCUGGCGGCAGGCUUAACACAUGCAAGUCGAGCGCCCCGCAAGGGGAGCGGCAGACGGGUGAGUAACGCGUGGGAACGUACCUUUGGUUCGGAACAACACAGGGAAACUUGUGCUAAUACCGGAUAAGCCCUUACGGGGAAAGAUUUAUCGCCAUUGGAGCGGCCCGCGUCUGAUUAGCUAGUUGGUAGGGUAAAGGCCUACCAAGGCUACGAUCAGUAGCUGGUCUGAGAGGACGACCAGCCACAUUGACACUGAGACACUGGCCAGACUCCUACGGGGGGCUGCAGCAACGAAUCUUCCCCAAUGGCGAAAGCCUGAGGGAGCGACGCCGCGUGAAGGACGAAGUACUUCGGUAUGUAAACUUCUGUUAGGGUUAUGAAAGUGAAGGGACCUAAUACGUCCACAAUUGAUCUAGCCCAAAGAAGGGACGGCUAACUCUAGUGCCAGCAGCCGC
RNAcentral lists this ribosomal RNA (464 nucleotides) under uncultured bacterium. RNAcentral's name for it is "SSU rRNA". It matches the Rfam family "Bacterial small subunit ribosomal RNA", at positions 26 to 518 of the family's 1533-position model. The record is from RNAcentral.